This 250-nucleotide ribosomal RNA is filed under the name uncultured bacterium. RNAcentral describes it as "partial 16S ribosomal RNA". It matches the Rfam family "Bacterial small subunit ribosomal RNA", at positions 524 to 771 of the family's 1533-position model. The record is from RNAcentral.
UACGAAGGGGGCUAGCGUUGUUCGGAUUAACUGGGCGUAAAGCGCGCGUAGGCGGGUUUUUAAGUCAGGGGUGAAAUCCCAAGGCUCAACCCUUGGAAGCUGCCUUUGAUACUGGAAAUCUUGAGUCCGGGAGAGGUGAGUGGAACUGCGAGUGUAGAGGUGAAAUUCGUAGAUAUUCGCAAGAACACCAGUGGCGAAGGCGGCUCACUGGCCCGGUACUGACGCUGAGGUGCGAAAGCGUGGGGAGCAA